AAUGACGAGGUGCGGAUAACUGUAAGGUGUCUCCGCGGGUUACCAGCUCUUGGGUCAUGGCAACAAAAGGCGGUGUGGUCGACAAAAGCGAGGCUCUUGCUCCUACGUAUCCUCCAAUGAGGAACUCAGACCUACGUAGUUCUGGAUAACUUGUGAGACUUGAAAAAGUCUCGGUGUUUUCUCCACUAAAACGCAAACAUGCUUUAGCAAAGAGACAAAUAUUCCAACUGAUUAGAGCAUCAUAUGCCUUUUUGAGUGAAAA
Molecule: long non-coding RNA, 262 nt
Filed under: Glycine max (soybean)
Lineage: Eukaryota; Viridiplantae; Streptophyta; Magnoliopsida; Fabales; Fabaceae
Description: long non-coding RNA (GMAX_LNC002223)
Source: RNAcentral